Bos taurus (domestic cattle) is the source of this 1727-nucleotide long non-coding RNA. NCBI's taxonomy places the organism in Eukaryota, Metazoa, Chordata, Mammalia, Artiodactyla, Bovidae. The record is from Ensembl.
GGGGGGGGGUGGGCUCAGCUAGUCCGGCCUGUGUUCUGUCUUCUCAAGCUCUGCAGACCCUGGGGAGAUGUCUCUCCUUCCACCAGGGCCUCCAGCAUAGUUGUAUGCUGUGUGAAACUGGCAGCUACUGAUGGUGACCAUGGACCUGCUUUGCCUGAGGUCUUGAGUUCCUUCUCCUCGGAGCCUCCUUAUCCCCCUACUCCAGGUCAGGUUCUAUUAUCCCUUCUUCAUCCUUUAUAUAAGAGCUAGGGGGAAUUGAUGUCCUAGACAAAAUACUUUCAGCCCUAUCAUCCCCCAUAUCCUCCGGGGGAGGGAGUCUUUUUUCAUAAUACUUGUUUAAAUUGAGUUGUGAUUUAUAAUACGUGCUGUAAAAUUCAUUAAUGUUAAAUGGGUAGUUGAUGAAUUUUUCCUUUUACCUCAGGUGCCAUUAUGGCUCUCCACAGCACUGUCAAAAUUUUUGAUAACCCUUUACAAUAUUCUUGAACCUUCCCUAGCAUUUUCCCAUCUUAAUUAACGGAAGAGAUUUAGUACAUUUGGAAUCCAACCCACCCUCUUUCUUUCCAAGUCCUUUGAUGAGUUUGCCCAACAAAGGUAACACGAGAAAGAGGCCUUUGGGCAACAUUCUGUCAUCUCUGUUACCCUGACACAGGUCCUAAAGCAGCAGCAAGCUAGUGUCCUUCACACUUCCCUGUUUAUAGGAAUUUGCACUUCAUGUGUCAUUUGUGGAAAACUUUCCCUGUCUCUUUAGAAAUCAAUGGUCUGAAAUUACUCCUAGUUCUUGAAAUGCGUGACUCAUUUGUAAUCAUACAAUCCCUAACUUUGCUGCCUGCUGUGUGCGUUCUCUGAAAGACUAACACUGGGAGCUGCUUGUACUAGUUUACCUACUGUUUGUAGCUUCAUAACACUUAACUGGCUAGCACAUAAAUAUUGAAAACCCACAUCCUUUCUUCUGGAAUCCAAGAAUGCGUUGCUUUACUUCUUGGCACAUGUAUCUUGGGAGUUUGUCCCACUACAAUCAAUGACCUCAUCCUUUUCACUCAUAAGAGAUGUUAUUGACAUCUCUCUUAGAUUUACCUCAACUAGGAAAUGUUCAUGUAAUCUUUUGCUGCUGCUGCUAAGGCACUUCAGUUGUGUCCAACUCUGUGCGACCCCAUAGAUGGAAGCCCACCAGGCUCCCCCGUCCCUGGGAUUCUCCAGGCAAGAACACUGGAGUGGGGUGCCAUUGCCUUCUCCGAUGUAAUCUUUUAGACGUGUUUAAUUAGUAUUUACCCACUGUUUUUCCUAAGGCAUCAAAGAAUGUGAAGUGGAAACUAGAAGCAUUAUUCAAAGCUUCAGAGAGCAAACAGAACAUUUCUUUGAAAUCUUGUAUUUUAUCUUUAAAAUGCAUGGUCAUCUUGCAUUCUAUUCCAUAAUUCAUUCACUCAAAAAUCAGGUGCCUACUCAGUGCCAUUGUUCCAGGGAUACAGCAACAAACACAAAUAUUUGUGUAGGUGUUUCACCUAGUAAUACUGUAUACCAUUUAACACAAGUUAAAAACUGAAACAAUUUUCCCUGAUUCAAGAGCAAAACUGGUAAUUCAAGACGAGCCAAUUAUUGCUUCAAAUACCAGCCAGUCAUGCUGUUACUGGGUGGGGCUUCCCAGGUAGCACUAGUGGUAAAGAACCUGCCUACCAAGGCAAGAGAACUAAGAGACCUAAGGGUUCAGUCCCUGGGUUGGGAAGAUCCCC